UACCUUUUUCUAAACUGCCUUAGGUUACAGGUAGAAUUCAUUUUCUGGAGGCUUUAGGGAUGGGACUCCAGUUUCUUGCUGGAAGCUAUUUUCAGUUCCUAGUGAUUUGAAUCUGAAAUGUCCUUUCCAUGUUUUGAAUGUUUAUUCUCCAGUUUGUGGUGCUAUUUUUGGAAGCUGUGGAGGUCAGGCCUAACUAAUAAAAAUGGUUCACUAGGAAUGAGCCUUUUGAAGUUAUAAUCUGUCUCUUAACUCUGGCCUCCCUAGGUGUUUCCUGGGGCCUCUGUGAUGUGACCAGCAUGAGUCAAAACAAAUCUCUCUGUCCCUCAUAUUGUUUCUACUAGGCAUCAUAGUUAGAGAGAAGCAAAAGGAACUAACACGGUUCUUUGAGAGUUCACUUUCCCCUGCCUGGACUCCUACUUCACCGUAGUUUGUAUCUUCCAGCCAGUGAAAACUGACAGUGACUCUAACAAGUCUACAACAAACAUGGAAUCUUACCUGCCGUGGCGACCAGUCUCUUCUCAGGAGACUAUUCCAUCUCUUCUGUCACAUUCUGUUGCUAAGGAGCCAAGUGCUUGAUGCAGCCCUGGUUUAGAGGAAUGAGUUGUCCAGCUUUUCUCUCGUUGAAGUUAUUAUUCAAGGCUUUCCUCUUUUCCUUCCCGGUGUUUUCCAUGGACCCGCUCUGUGUGUGAGUGUCUGUGGGAAUUAAACAGAAGCAACAGAGGCAACGAAACACACUGAUUACCAAGUAAAAUGGUUCCCCUGGCAACCACAGCCCAAUGAAAGCCCUUAGAACUGCCUUCUUUGCUCAGAUGGUUUUUUCCCAGUGAUUUCAGGCAUCACAGAUGGCAGAAGCAGACACAAAGCUACCUGCUCCAACUGUGUUGCUACAGAAAUAAAGCUGAUUCAGUGA
Peromyscus eremicus (cactus mouse) is the source of this 910-nucleotide long non-coding RNA. RefSeq lists it as uncharacterized. The record is from RefSeq and is a predicted model, not a curated record. Lineage: Eukaryota; Metazoa; Chordata; Mammalia; Rodentia; Cricetidae. The transcript has 2 exons.